Cervus hanglu yarkandensis (Yarkand deer) is the source of this 107-nucleotide small nuclear RNA. Lineage: Eukaryota; Metazoa; Chordata; Mammalia; Artiodactyla; Cervidae. The record is from Ensembl.
GGGCUCACUUCAGCAGCACAUAUACUAAAAUUGGAACAAAACAGAAAAGAUUAGCAUGGCCCUUGCGCAGGGAUGACGUGCAAAUUCAUGAAGCGUUUCAUAAUUUU